CGAAGGGGGCUAGCGUUGCUCGGAAUUACUGGGCGUAAAGGGCGCGUAGGCGGCACUGUUAGUCAGGCGUGAAAUUCCUGGGCUCAACCUGGGGACUGCGCUUGAUACGGCAGAGCUAGAGGAUGGAAGAGGCUCGCGGAAUUCCCAGUGUAGAGGUGAAAUUCGUAGAUAUUGGGAAGAACACCGGUGGCGAAGGCGGCGAGCUGGUCCAUUACUGACGCUGAGGCGCGACAGCGUGGGGAGCAAACAGGAUUAGAUACCCUGGUAGUCCACGCCGUAAACGAUGUGCGCUGGAUGUUGGGUGGCCUAGCCACUCAGUGUCGUAGCUAACGCGGUAAGCGCACCGCCUGGGGAGUACGGCCGCAAGGUUG
This 371-nucleotide ribosomal RNA is filed under the name uncultured organism. RNAcentral's name for it is "bacterial SSU rRNA". It matches the Rfam family "Bacterial small subunit ribosomal RNA", at positions 526 to 896 of the family's 1533-position model. The record is from RNAcentral.